AUUGAACGCUGGCGGCAGGCCUAACACAUGCAAGUCGAGCGGAUGAAGGGAGCUUGCUCCUGGAUUCAGCGGCGGACGGGUGAGUAAUGCCUAGGAAUCUGCCUGGUAGUGGGGGAUAACGUCCGGAAACGGGCGCUAAUACCGCAUACGUCCUGAGGGAGAAAGUGGGGGAUCUUCGGACCUCACGCUAUCAGAUGAGCCUAGGUCGGAUUAGCUAGUUGGUGGGGUAAAGGCCUACCAAGGCGACGAUCCGUAACUGGUCUGAGAGGAUGAUCAGUCCCACUGGAACUGAGACACGGUCCAGACUCCUACGGGAGGCAGCAGUGGGGAAUGUUGGACAAUGGGCGAAAGCCUGAUCCAGCCAUGCCGCGUGUGUGAAGAAGGUCUUCGGAUUGUAAAGCACUUUAAGUUGGGAGGAAGGGCAGUAAGUUAAUACCUUGCUGUUUUGACGUUACCAACAGAAUAAGCACCGGCUAACUUCGUG
RNAcentral lists this ribosomal RNA (484 nucleotides) under uncultured bacterium. RNAcentral's name for it is "partial 16S ribosomal RNA". It matches the Rfam family "Bacterial small subunit ribosomal RNA", at positions 30 to 507 of the family's 1533-position model. The record is from RNAcentral.